RNAcentral lists this ribosomal RNA (651 nucleotides) under Aegla uruguayana. Its description in RNAcentral is "partial 16S ribosomal RNA". It matches the Rfam family "Bacterial large subunit ribosomal RNA", at positions 1820 to 2755 of the family's 2925-position model. The record is from RNAcentral. Lineage: Eukaryota; Metazoa; Arthropoda; Malacostraca; Decapoda; Aeglidae.
UGUUACCAAAACAUGCUAUAUGAAGCUUUAUAUAGUCUAGCCUGCCCACUGAAAUAUAAUUAAAGGGCCGCGGUAUUUUGACUGUGCGAAGGUAGCAUAAUCAUUUGUCUUUUAAUUGAAGACUUGUAUGAAUGGUUGAACGAGAAAAUAACUGUCUCUUUAAAAAAUCUUGAACUUUACUUUUAAGUGAAAAGGCUUAAAUAAUUUUAAGGGACGAUAAGACCCUAUAAAUCUUUAUAUUAUUUUUCUUUAAAUUUCAAAUUAUACGUUAAAAGAAAUAAAAGAAAAAAAAUAUUAUAUUGGGGAGAUAAAAAUAUAAUUUUUAACUGUUUUAAAAAUAAAACAAUAAUUUUUGAUUAAAAAAAUUGAUCCUUUUUAAAGAUUUAAAGAUUAAGUUACUUUAGGGAUAACAGCGUAAUUUUUUUUGAGAGUUCUUAUCGAAAUAAAAGUUUGCGACCUCGAUGUUGAAUUAAAAUAUCCUUAUAAGUGCAGAAGCUAUAAAGGAAAGUCUGUUCGACUUUUAAAAUUUUACRUGAUCUGAGUUCARACCGGCGUGAGCCAGGUUGGUUCCUAUCUCUUAAUUAAUUGUAGGUUAUCUUAGUACGAAAGGAUUAGGUAACUGGAAUAUUUCUAAAUAUAGGGAAUAAUAUU